CCAUUUGCAUCUGGUGAUAAGGCCACUGCUGAGACUCUGCUCAGUCUCAAAGUAAACACCUUGAUGUACUAGUG
Small nucleolar RNA from Manis pentadactyla (Chinese pangolin), 74 nucleotides. RefSeq annotates it as small nucleolar RNA U105B. NCBI's taxonomy places the organism in Eukaryota, Metazoa, Chordata, Mammalia, Pholidota, Manidae. The record is from RefSeq and is a predicted model, not a curated record. The transcript has a single exon.